UUGACCAAAAUAAGGCCGGGCCCAGUUAAGGUCCAAUCUGCCAGGCACCCUCCCUCCCCGCGGCCGGCGCCGCCGCCGCCGCCGCCGCGCCAUGCCCGCCGGUGCUCCCCGACUCCGGUCGCCGAAUCGAGCCCGCUCUCCCGCCCGGCCUGAUCCCUCGCGCUCACCGUAGAAUCAUUUCCGCGCCAAUGCGCGAUCUUCUGUUCCUGCCUGCCGCUCUAGGAUAACCGUCUCCACUUCCAUUUGGGAAACCCUAGAAGUUUAUGCGGAUACGGCCGACGGCCUCGGAUGAUCCAGUGAUCUGCUGUCCAGAGGUAUGCUGCAUUCAGUUAUUGCUGUUGAUUGAUCUGGCUUAAGCUUGGGCUAUAAGAAAUCAUCAGACCAUGGCCGGAGAUAGUGACAGCUAUCAUUGUGUCACAGGUCUUGGUUGGUUUGCGACCUAACUGAAGUAGAGCUAGAAAAACCUUGAUAGGACAAUCUGAUCAUAUAACACCCCUACAGCAAAGAAUGCACCAAAGGAAAUCAUAAAGACAAAUGAUGAUACAACCUUGUCAGCAUUUUGUUUUGUGGAGACAAAUGGUGUUUGUGCUAAACCACAAUGGCGUGCAAGCAUAGGACCACACAACUUUGGGUUCCCAUCAAAGCUAGUACUUGGGAAUGUGCUAAGCUGUCCUGCAUUUGGAACUGGCCCUUCAAGGUCAUUGUUAGAAAUGUUGAAUGCUGAAAGGAAGUGAAGUUUGUUCAGCCCAUCAGGAAUUGUACCAGUGAGAUUAUUGCUGGACAAAUCAAGCACCUGUAGGUUUGUGAGCUUGUAGAUUGAUUCUGGUAUCUCUCCAGACAAUCUGUUGGAACUCAAAUUGAGUAACUGGAGUGCCUUCAACUGACCAAUCUCAUUCGGGAUGAUGCCAGUGAAAUUAUUGAUGCCUAGAUUCAGCACUUUAGGGAAUGCACUGUUUAUUCGGUAUUGAAGUGCAUAACCUGUACAGAUAGGCAGCUCAAAGACCUUUGGUGGAACAUUAUCUGAUUUUAGCAUUGGCAUCUCAACUAAGGCUGAUGGAAUUUCCCCUGAAAGGCUGUUGUUUGAAAUGUCUAUAUGGAACAAGAAGUUUAGGCUGCUGAUCCAGUCAGGUAUUGCUCCGUUUAGUUGAUUGUUAUAUAAAGAUAGCAUCUCCAGAUUUGUGAGCUUUGAUAACCAUUUAGGUAUUUUUCCAGACAAUGAACAAUCGUUCAGGGAAAAAAUCCGAAGAUUCUCAAAACCAUAAAUCUCGUCAUCCUCUGGCAUGGUCUCUUGCAUGAAGUUGUACCCAAUAAGCAAGGUGGUCAGGUUCCUGCAGCUCUGAAGUAUCUGAAGUGAACCUGUGAUAUUUGUAAGAGAGAUGUCAACAAGUGAUACAAAUGAGAGGCACUUCAGAUUGCGGAUUUUCUCCGAGAGCUGGCCAUGGAAGCUAUUGUUAGACAGCUGCAAUGCACUUAGAUUUCUGCAUGAGUAGAUGCUUUCUGGCACUGUUCCGGUGAAAUUGUUCGACAUAAGAUCUAAGGACUGUAAAUUGCGUAAUGUGGAGAAGUUGACAUUGCCAAGAUCUCCUGAAAAGUUGUUGCCCCCGAGGUUCAUGUUCUUAAGAUUUCUGCAAUUUCCUACAGUUGAUGGCAACUCCCCGGACAUGCUGUUGUAUGCCAAAUGGAGCUUCUCCAGUCUCUUAAGCUGACCUAUCGAAUUUGGGAUACUUCCACUAAGCCUGUUUUGUCCAAGAUCAAUGGUCACUAGAUUUUUAAGCUUGGUGAUGCCUUUGAUUGAUCCUUCUAACUGGUUUCUAAGAAAACAGAGGUGCUUCAAAGAGGUCAGAUCAAAUAGCUCGUCUGGAAGAGUCCCGGUGAGGUUGUUGUAGCUAGCGCUCAGAAGUGUCAGCUUGGAGCAAUUGCUGAGCCCCGCAGGGAUUCUUCCACUGAAUUGGUUAUAGCUGAGUUCAAGCACAGCAAAAGAUGGCGCGCUGGCACAGAACGAGGUUGGCAUCUGCCCAGUAAAUCUGUUGUUGCUGGCAUUAAGCACAACCAGAUUGUUCAUCCUCUCCCAUGUGGUUGAUGGAAAAUUCCCUGUAAACAAGUUGCUCGAGAUGUUCAAUACCUGCAGCGGCCGGUCAGGGGUUGAAGAUGGCAGCUCACUCAGUCCUCCUGUUAAGUAGUUAAAACUGACAUCAAGGACCACAAUGCUGCUGGAUGACACCAGUUCCAGCGGUAAGCCACCGGACAACGAGUUGCGGGACAAGUUCAGCCUCAGUAAACCGGUGAGGUCGCCGAGGGAUGGUGAGAUGCUCCCUUCAAGGCCUCUUGAUGCCAGAGAGAUCACCUCGACCACCGCUCCGUUUCCGCUGCAGGUGAUGCCUUCCCAGGUGCAGCAGUCUGUGCCGUUUUGCCAUGACACACCAAGGCCGCCAUCGUUCGAUAGCCCGGAGAGGAACUGGAGGAGAGAUUCCCUCUCCUGCUCGGUGCAUGAACCGGCAUGACAGACGAAGCAAAGCAGGAGUAGCAGCAGAGCUUGGCCGAAGGGAGGCAUGCAGAAUCUGCUAUUAUCUCGGUUGCUGCUUGAAGAGAGCUGUCUUGGCAUUGGCUUCAUUAUUGCUAUUUUUCUUGAAAACUAUCACUGGUUUGUGGGUUUGAUUUUGCAGGAUAGGCAGGUUAGUGUGCAAGUGCAAAACAGCAAAAGAAUAAAGUUCUUGAGCAAAUAUAUUGCCGAAUCUUUCAGUCAAAAAAAUAUAUAUUGCCGAAUCUUUCCGUCAAAAAAUAUAUGUUGCCGAAUCAGACACGAAGGACAGUAACUCAAGUAGAUGAGGAUAAAGAUGAAGAUUAAGUGAUUUACGUAAAACAAGGUGGUAUUAAUGUAUAAUUAAUUGAGUUUGAAAAAUUUAUCUGAUAUUUUAGAGUAACUUACAUAUAGAAAGUUUUUGUACGAAA
This is a non-coding RNA of Oryza sativa Japonica Group (Japanese rice), 2949 nucleotides long. Lineage: Eukaryota; Viridiplantae; Streptophyta; Magnoliopsida; Poales; Poaceae. The record is from RefSeq and is a predicted model, not a curated record.